UCCCUGAUAGCUCAGUUGGUAAAGAAUCUGCCUUCAAUGCAGGAGACUCUGGUUUGAUUCCUGGUUUGGGAA
This 72-nucleotide transfer RNA is filed under the name Ovis aries (sheep). It matches the Rfam family "tRNA". From Rfam's summary of the family: Transfer RNA (tRNA) molecules are approximately 80 nucleotides in length. Their secondary structure includes four short double-helical elements and three loops (D, anti-codon, and T loops). Lineage: Eukaryota; Metazoa; Chordata; Mammalia; Artiodactyla; Bovidae. The record is from Rfam by way of RNAcentral.